GCAUAUCAAUAAGCGGAGGAAAAGAAACCAACAGGGAUUGCCUCAGUAACGGCGAGUGAAGCGGCAACAGCUCAAAUUUGAAAUCUGGUCCUUUCAGGGCCCGAGUUGUAAUUUGGAGAGGAUGCUUCGGCUGCGGCCCUGGUCUAAGUUCCUUGGAACAGGACGUCACAGAGGGUGAGAACCCCGUACGUGGCUGGGUGCCUACGCCAUGUGAAGCUCCUUCGACGAGUCGAGUUGUUUGGGAAUGCAGCUCUAAACGGGAGGUAGAUUUCUUCUAAAGCUAAAUACCGGCGAGAGACCGAUAGCGCACAAGUAGAGUGAUCGAAAGAUGAAAAGCACUUUGGAAAGAGAGUUAAAAAGUACGUGAAAUUGUUGAAAGGGAAGCGCUUGCAACCAGACUUGGACGUAGUUGCUUAGCCGGGCUUCUGCCCGGUGCACUCUUCUGCGUCCAGGCCAGCAUCAGUUCAAGCGGCCGGAUAAAGGCCUUGGGAAUGUAGCUCCUCUCGGGGAGUGUUAAAGCCCUUCGGUGCAAUGCGGCCUGCCUGGACUGAGGUCCGCGCUUCGGCUAGGAUGCUGGCGUAAUG
This 584-nucleotide ribosomal RNA is filed under the name Minutisphaera aspera. RNAcentral's name for it is "eukaryotic LSU rRNA". It matches the Rfam family "Eukaryotic large subunit ribosomal RNA", at positions 38 to 636 of the family's 3401-position model. Lineage: Eukaryota; Fungi; Ascomycota; Dothideomycetes; Minutisphaerales; Minutisphaeraceae. The record is from RNAcentral.